This 426-nucleotide ribosomal RNA is filed under the name uncultured bacterium. Its description in RNAcentral is "bacterial SSU rRNA". It matches the Rfam family "Bacterial small subunit ribosomal RNA", at positions 355 to 773 of the family's 1533-position model. The record is from RNAcentral.
UGGGGAAUUUUGGACAAUGGGCGAAAGCCUGAUCCAGCAAUGCCGCGUGAGUGAAGAAGGCCUUCGGGUUGUAAAGCUCUUUUGUCAGGGAAGAAACGGUGAAAGCUAAUAUCUUUUGCUAAUGACUGUACCUGAAGAAUAAGCACCGGCUAACUACGUUCCAGCAGCCGCGGUAAUACGUAGGGUGCAAGCGUUAAUCGGAAUUACUGGGCGUAAAGCGUGCGCAGGCGGUUUUGUAAGUCUGAUGUGAAAUGCCCGGGCUCAACCUGGAAAUUGCAUUCGAGACUGCAAGGCUAGAAAAUGGCAGAGGGAGGUAGAAUUCCUCGUGUAGCAGUAAAAUGCGUAGAUAUGUGGAGGAACACCGAUGGCGAAGGCAGCCCACUGGGUCAAGUUUGACGCUAAAGCACGAAAGCGUGGGGAGCAAAC